CCCAUGGCUCAGAUUGAACGCUGGCGGCAGGCCUAACACAUGCAAGUCGAGCGGAUGAGAGGAGCUUGCUCCUUGAUUCAGCGGCGGACGGGUGAGUAAUGCCUAGGAAUCUGCCUAUUAGUGGGGGACAACGUUUCGAAAGGAACGCUAAUACCGCAUACGUCCUACGGGAGAAAGCAGGGGACCUUCGGGCCUUGCGCUAAUAGAUGAGCCUAGGUCGGAUUAGCUAGUUGGUGAGGUAAUGGCUCACCAAGGCGACGAUCCGUAACUGGUCUGAGAGGAUGAUCAGUCACACUGGAACUGAGACACGGUCCAGACUCCUACGGGAGGCAGCAGUGGGGAAUAUUGGACAAUGGGCGAAAGCCUGAUCCAGCCAUGCCGCGUGUGUGAAGAAGGUCUUCGGAUUGUAAAGCACUUUAAGUUGGGAGGAAGGGCAGUAAAUUAAUACUUUGCUGUUUUGACGUUACCGACAGAAUAAGCACCGGCUAA
RNAcentral lists this ribosomal RNA (489 nucleotides) under Pseudomonas sp. CL1.127. Its description in RNAcentral is "bacterial SSU rRNA". It matches the Rfam family "Bacterial small subunit ribosomal RNA", at positions 16 to 500 of the family's 1533-position model. The record is from RNAcentral. Lineage: Bacteria; Pseudomonadati; Pseudomonadota; Gammaproteobacteria; Pseudomonadales; Pseudomonadaceae.